Molecule: small nucleolar RNA, 134 nt
Organism: Ornithorhynchus anatinus (platypus)
Lineage: Eukaryota; Metazoa; Chordata; Mammalia; Monotremata; Ornithorhynchidae
Source: RefSeq, a predicted model, not a curated record
CCCCUCUCAGGGUCGCACCUGGAGAGUUUUCAGUACUCUACCAGUCUCGGCUGUGGGAGGGUCAAGCAGAGGCAUACACCUUCCAUUCCUAUCUUGACCAGUGGCUAGCUAGUGGAAGACAAUCUGCUACAAGU